Bradysia coprophila is the source of this 153-nucleotide long non-coding RNA. The record is from RefSeq and is a predicted model, not a curated record. NCBI's taxonomy places the organism in Eukaryota, Metazoa, Arthropoda, Insecta, Diptera, Sciaridae.
CUCACAUCCUCCAUACAAAUAUUCAAAUUUAUCAUAGAGUUACUCCUAGCGUCAUCUGUUAGUCUUUCUACAUACAUGCAAUUUUUGCCAAAAACAAGAUGGCGAAAAUCACAACCCAUUGAAAUCAAAAAAUAGUUUCAACGGUGUCAACAU